Molecule: transfer RNA, 69 nt
Filed under: Odocoileus virginianus texanus
Lineage: Eukaryota; Metazoa; Chordata; Mammalia; Artiodactyla; Cervidae
Also listed under: 5 other names
Rfam family: tRNA
About the family: Transfer RNA (tRNA) molecules are approximately 80 nucleotides in length.
Source: Rfam by way of RNAcentral
CCUGGUGGCUCAGAGGGUAAAGCGUCUGCCUGCAAUGCGGGAGACCUGGGUUCGAUCCCUGGGUCAGGA